UGAAGAGGAAGCUCUAUUGGGAGAGCUGAAUAAUGAGCUUCCAGACCCUACAUUGCUUAACUUACGCAUAAUAGAUAACACAGGUGCUUUUGUACAUAAUUUAAAGAUACCAUCUCCCGUAGCAGAAAGACUCGACAAAGCUGAAAUUGAUAGCCUAACCAAAUUUUGUUCUCAGAAGAUUCACAAGAGAUAUAAUGUUAUAGUAACAACCAACAGCACUAUUAACAGGGAAGAGUUGUUAUAUGUGCUUCGUGGUGGCCGCCUUGACGACAAGGUGGAAGAAGCAGUUUUGAACACGAUUAGCCAGGAGGCAUACGACAAAGGAUAUGGAGUGGUAUCGGUGUUCUUUCUUGUAAGAC
Asparagus officinalis (garden asparagus) is the source of this 359-nucleotide long non-coding RNA. RefSeq lists it as uncharacterized. NCBI's taxonomy places the organism in Eukaryota, Viridiplantae, Streptophyta, Magnoliopsida, Asparagales, Asparagaceae. The transcript is spliced from 3 exons. The record is from RefSeq and is a predicted model, not a curated record.